UGACUAAUUUGGUACUUCAAC
Non-coding RNA from Caenorhabditis elegans, 21 nucleotides. NCBI's taxonomy places the organism in Eukaryota, Metazoa, Nematoda, Chromadorea, Rhabditida, Rhabditidae. The record is from Ensembl.